GACUUGCGGCAGCUUACCAUGCAGUCGAACGGUGAAGCCAAGCUUGCUUGGUGGAUCAGUGGCGAACGGGUGAGUAACACGUGAGCAACCUGCCCUGGACUCUGGGAUAAGCGCUGGAAACGGCGUCUAAUACUGGAUAUGAGCCCCUUCCGCAUGGCGGGGGUUGGAAAGAUUUUUUGGUCUGGGAUGGGCUCGCGGCCUAUCAGCUUGUUGGUGAGGUAAUGGCUCACCAAGGCGUCGACGGGUAGCCGGCCUGAGAGGGUGACCGGCCACACUGGGACUGAGACACGGCCCAGACUCCUACGGGAGGCAGCAGUGGGGAAUAUUGCACAAUGGGCGGAAGCCUGAUGCAGCAACGCCGCGUGAGGGAUGACGGCCUUCGGGUUGUAAACCUCUUUUAGCAGGGAAGAAGCGAGAGUGACGGUACCUGCAGAAAAAGCGCCGGCUAACUACGUGCCAGCAGCCGCGGUAAUACGUAGGGCGCAAGCGUUAUCCGGAAUUAUUGGGCGUAAAGAGCUCGUAGGCGGUUUGUCGCGUCUGCUGUGAAAUCCCGAGGCUCAACCUCGGGCCUGCAGUGGGUACGGGCAGACUAGAGUGCGGUAGGGGAGAUUGGAAUUCCUGGUGUAGCGGUGGAAUGCGCAGAUAUCAGGAGGAACACCGAUGGCGAAGGCAGAUCUCUGGGCCGUAACUGACGCUGAGGAGCGAAAGGGUGGGGAGCAAACAGGCUUAGAUACCCUGGUAGUCCACCCCGUAAACGUUGGGAACUAGUUGUGGGGACCAUUCCACGGUUUCCGUGACGCAGCUAACGCAUUAAGUUCCCCGCCUGGGGAGUACGGCCGCAAGGCUAAAACUCAAAGGAAUUGACGGGGACCCGCACAAGCGGCGGAGCAUGCGGAUUAAUUCGAUGCAACGCGAAGAACCUUACCAAGGCUUGACAUACAUCAGAACACCGUAGAAAUACGGGACUCUUUGGACACUGGUGAACAGGUGGUGCAUGGUGUCGUCAGCUCGUGUCGUGAGAUGUUGGGUUAAGUCCCGCAACGAGCGCACCCUCGUCUAUGUGCCAGCACGUAAUGGUGGGACUCAUGGAUACUGCCGGGUCAACUCGGAGGAAGGUGGGGGAUGACGG
Molecule: ribosomal RNA, 1129 nt
Filed under: Microbacterium sp. ZYFD042
Lineage: Bacteria; Bacillati; Actinomycetota; Actinomycetes; Micrococcales; Microbacteriaceae
Description: bacterial SSU rRNA
Rfam family: Bacterial small subunit ribosomal RNA
Source: RNAcentral